GGGAGUGAUCGAGGGAGCGCCAGACCCGACUCGAAGUAUGUACUGAAAGUCGUCCCGCAGACCAUAGAGGGUGUGAGUCCCGUAGGGUCGCGUCGUCUGGUGGUUCCCGCCGGUCGCUCUCGAGAGUCGGGUUGCUUGUAAAUGCAGCCUUAAGAUAGGUGGUAAACUCCAUCUAAAGCUAAAUAUCCCCACGAGACCGAUAGAUAACAAGUACCGCGAGGGAAAGUUGAAAAGGACUCUGAAGAGAGAGUUCAAGAGAGCGUGAAACUGCCACGAGCCUAAAGCGAGUGAGUGUUCGUACCCGAAGGGAAAGUUGACCCGUGGUGCCGUUCUGUGGGGUCGCGAGACGCGCCUUAAAUGGAUCUAUCCCGAACGUCGCAGGCCUCAGCGUCUCGGCUUCGUGGGUAGACCGGCGUACCCUCCUGGGCGGCAUGUAGAGGUCUGCUGCUUUCCUUAGUAGGGCGUCGUGGCCGUUCGAGAGGUGUCGAAGACCCGGGGGUCUGGGAAACCGUAUCUUCUGGGCGUUCCCACUAAAGUCUCUGUUCGGCUACUACGGUGGUCGUUCAUGAGAGAGAGAGAAAGG
This 583-nucleotide ribosomal RNA is filed under the name Hemilepistus klugii. RNAcentral describes it as "partial large subunit ribosomal RNA". It matches the Rfam family "Eukaryotic large subunit ribosomal RNA", at positions 151 to 598 of the family's 3401-position model. Lineage: Eukaryota; Metazoa; Arthropoda; Malacostraca; Isopoda; Agnaridae. The record is from RNAcentral.